RNAcentral lists this ribosomal RNA (1221 nucleotides) under Triticum aestivum (bread wheat). RNAcentral's name for it is "partial small subunit ribosomal RNA". Lineage: Eukaryota; Viridiplantae; Streptophyta; Magnoliopsida; Poales; Poaceae. The record is from RNAcentral.
AUGGCGGGAACUGACUCCUCGGCGUCAUCGAGACAAAGCAGUUUCAACUCAUUAGCAAAGGACCUAGAACUUCCUUUGGAGCAAGGGUGCCUCACCAUCGUUGUACUUGGGGCUUCUGGAGAUCUUGCCAAGAAGAAAACGUUCCCGGCACUCUACCACCUUUUUGAGCAGGGGUUCUUACAAUCUGGUGAAGUGCAUAUAGUGGGGUAUGCGAGAACAAAUCUUUCUGAUGAUGGGUUGAGAGGGCGCAUCCGUGCAUACCUUAAAGGAGCCUCAGAGGAACAUGUUUCAGAAUUCUUGCAAUUGAUAAAAUAUGUCAGUGGUUCCUAUGACAGUGGAGAAGGUUUUGAAAAACUGAACAAGGAAAUAUCAGAUUAUGAGAUGUCAAACAACUCAGGAAGCUCCCGUAGGCUCUUUUAUUUGGCAUUGCCUCCAUCUGUCUACCCUUCAGUGUGCAAAAUGAUCCGAACAUAUUGCAUGAGUCCAACUUCUCGCGCUGGAUGGACUAGAGUAAUUGUUGAGAAGCCCUUUGGAAGGGACCUGGACUCUGCAGAAGAAUUGAGUUCCCAACUUGGGGAGCUAUUCGAGGAAGAUCAACUCUACAGGAUUGACCACUACUUGGGAAAAGAGUUGGUCCAAAACUUGCUUGUGCUUCGUUUUGCGAACCGUUUGUUCUUACCACUUUGGAACCGUGACAAUGUUGAUAAUAUACAGAUUGUAUUCAGGGAGGACUUCGGAACUGAUGGACGUGGAGGAUAUUUUGAUCAAUAUGGAAUCAUCCGUGAUAUCAUUCAGAACCAUUUGUUGCAGGUUUUCUGUUUGGUUGCAAUGGAAAAGCCUGUAUCUCUUAAGCCUGAGCACAUCAGAGAUGAGAAAGUCAAGGUUCUGCAAUCCGUGAACCCGAUAAAGGACGAAGAGGUAGUCCUUGGACAAUAUCAGGGCUACAAGGAUGACCCUACAGUGCCAGAUGACUCUAAUACCCCAACGUUUGCAUCUAUUGUACUUAGGGUACACAAUGAAAGAUGGGAAGGUGUUCCUUUCAUUCUUAAAGCUGGUAAAGCAUUAAACUCAAGAAAAGCAGAAAUUCGUGUGCAGUUCAAGGAUGUUCCCGGUGACAUUUUUAAAUGUAAGAAGCAGGGAAGAAAUGAGUUUGUCAUACGCCUCCAGCCAUCAGAAGCCAUGUACAUGAAACUAACUGUAAGUCCAGCUACUUGUGUAUGA